RNAcentral lists this ribosomal RNA (388 nucleotides) under uncultured organism. RNAcentral describes it as "partial 16S ribosomal RNA". It matches the Rfam family "Bacterial small subunit ribosomal RNA", at positions 525 to 896 of the family's 1533-position model. The record is from RNAcentral.
CGGUAGGGUGCGAGCGUUAAUCGGAAUUACGUGGGACGUAAAGCGUGCGCGAGGUCGGUUUGUAAGACAGGCGUGAAACGUCCCCGGGCUCAACCGUGGGAACUGAAAAAAAAACGUUUGUGACUGCAAGGCUAGAGUAUGGCAGAGGGGGGUGGAAUUCCACGUGUAGCAGUGAAAUGCGUAGAGAUGUGGAGGAACACCGAUGGCGAAGGCAGCCCCCUGGGCCAAUACUGACGCUCAUGCACGAAAGCGUGGGUAGCAAACAGGAUUAGAUACCCUGGUAGUCCACGCCCUAAACGAUGUCAACUAGGUGUUGGGUGGGUAAAACCAUUUAGUACCGGAGCUAACGCGUGAAGUUGACCGCCUGGGGAGUACGGCCGCAAGGUUA